Molecule: long non-coding RNA, 204 nt
Filed under: Nicotiana benthamiana
Lineage: Eukaryota; Viridiplantae; Streptophyta; Magnoliopsida; Solanales; Solanaceae
Description: long non-coding RNA (NBEN_LNC015421)
Source: RNAcentral
GCAGAGUUACAGUUGCUCUUCCGGAGCCUUCAAUCAAUUUACUUCCCAUGGUUUGGCAAACAAAAGAAAUACACGAACAUAAGAAUAAACAAGUUUAAUUCAUUUGUGUCACAUAAUAUUUUCAAAAUCUGCUGCUAACAGUUGACUAACAAAAUCAGAUAUGUUAUCCAUAAUUGAUUACUUUGCAGUUUGAAAAUUUCAGUU